RNAcentral lists this ribosomal RNA (368 nucleotides) under uncultured organism. Its description in RNAcentral is "bacterial SSU rRNA". It matches the Rfam family "Bacterial small subunit ribosomal RNA", at positions 526 to 895 of the family's 1533-position model. The record is from RNAcentral.
CGUAGGGUGCGAGCGUUAAUCGGAAUUACUGGGCGUAAAGCGUGCGCAGGCGGUAAGUUAAGUCUGAUGUGAAAGCCCCGGGCUCAACCUGGGAAUGGCAUUGGAAACUGGCUUGCUGGAGUGUGGCAGAGGGGGUGGAAUUCCGCGUGUAGCAGUGAAAUGCGUAGAGAUGCGGAGGAACACCGAUGGCGAAGGCAGCCCCCUGGGCCAACACUGACGCUCAGGCACGAAAGCGUGGGGAGCAAACAGGAUUAGAUACCCUGGUAGUCCACGCCCUAAACGAUGUCAACUGGGUGUUGGGGAAGCGAUUCCUUGGUACCGUAGCUAACGCGUGAAGUUGACCGCCUGGGGAGUACGGCCGCAAGGUU